RNAcentral lists this ribosomal RNA (493 nucleotides) under uncultured bacterium. RNAcentral's name for it is "SSU rRNA". It matches the Rfam family "Bacterial small subunit ribosomal RNA", at positions 26 to 521 of the family's 1533-position model. The record is from RNAcentral.
AGGACGAACGCUGGCGGCGUGCUUAACACAUGCAAGUGGAGCGACGAACCAGGGCUUGCCCUGGGGCAGAGCCGCGAACGGGUGAGUAACACGUGGGUUACCUGCCUCGAUGACCGGGACAACCCGAGGAAACUCGGGCUAAUACCGGAUGUGCCCGCAAGGGGAAAGGAAGCUUCGGCCUCCGCAUCGAGAUGGGCCCGCGGCCCAUUAGCUUGUUGGUGAGGUAACGGCUCACCAAGGCUUCGAUGGGUAGCUGGUCUGAGAGGACGAUCAGCCACACUGGGACUGAGACACGGCCCAGACUCCUACGGGAGGCAGCAGUGGGGAAUCUUGCGCAAUGCGCGAAAGCGUGACGCAGCAACGCCGCGUGGGGGAAGAAGGCUUUCGGGUUGUAAACCCCUUUCAGUUGGGACGAAGCUUCGUCGGUGAAUAGCCGGCCGGAGUGACGGUACCUUCACAGAGCACCGGCUAACUACGCGCCAGCAGCCGCGGU